ACAAAUAGCGGGCAAAUUUAUGAAUUCCUUUAUUAACACUAAGCUUCAGUUAGUUCCACUAGGGGUGGGCGUUCGAUUCGGGUUGAUCCGUAACGAACCGAAUCUGUAUUUUUAUUCGGCUUUCGGUUUUGUUGGGGUUAACCCAAAAAUCCAAACGGAUUACAUCCUCUAAACCGAACGGUUUCGAAAUUCAGUUUAGGUUAACCUGAACAGAAUUGAGAAACCGAUCGGGUUAAACGCAUGAAAAUAGGAGAAAAUAAGCAGAGCAGAGAGCACAUGCACCAGCAUGAAGACAGAAGUCAAAACAAUUUUACAAAGACAAACAAAGCCCCAAACUCGAUCAGUUGAUCCCCAAUCCCAAAUUCAAAUCCUAAUAGUCGUCAAUCAUCCUCCGCGCCGUACCACGUCUCGCCGUUGUAGCCCACGAUUUCGAUCCCCAAAUUCACAAUUUCACAAAACAAAAAACAAACCCUAACAACCACAUCCUCUCUCGUCCGAUUAUGCCACUUGGUUCGGCAGUCCCUCCACACCGCUCCACGUCAGCUCAACUCGCUGUUGCAGCCAACAACUUCAGCUCACAACUCUCUCUCUCUCUCUCUCUCUCUCGUAGCCAACGAUUUCAGUUCAAGACUCUCUCUCUCAAAUCGUCGCCGCAGCCCACGACUUUGAUUCGGCCACUACUUCAGCUCCUCCUCACAGCUCACUGUCAGCUCUUCAUGCCUUCAUGGUCAAUAAGCUCUUCAUAGCUUGUGUACAUACUCUGUAAUAUUUUCUUUAUUGUUGUAAUUUGUAUUUGAAUAUUAUGAAUUUGGUGUUUUGGAAACUCGAAUAUUUUAGAUUUGUUUAUGUUUUCAUCCUGGCGAAUUGAAAAUAGGCAAUCAUGGGUACGGUGCAGCAGGCUGAUUGGCUAUUGGAAGUUGAUGGAUCAUGAGUUGGUAUAUGGCAAAAAAGUCCGGGCCAGCACGACCCACUCCUACGGAUUUUGUAUCGGACUUCACACAUGAGGUGCUGGAGAAAGGCUUAGGAAAAAAAGCAUAGGGCAGGCCCAAG
This 1050-nucleotide long non-coding RNA is filed under the name Citrus sinensis (sweet orange). RNAcentral's name for it is "long non-coding RNA (CSIN_LNC004253)". Lineage: Eukaryota; Viridiplantae; Streptophyta; Magnoliopsida; Sapindales; Rutaceae. The record is from RNAcentral.